This 788-nucleotide long non-coding RNA is filed under the name Cricetulus griseus (Chinese hamster). RNAcentral describes it as "lncRNA (ENSCGRG00015031211.1)". The record is from RNAcentral. Lineage: Eukaryota; Metazoa; Chordata; Mammalia; Rodentia; Cricetidae.
CCUCAGGCCCCGCCUCCUCCAGGUCGACUUUCCAGGCGAUUACUCUAUAAAAUCCGAGGCUGGCCAGAAGUAUCUUGUCAGGCUUUCUCGGACUGCUGAAAUUCCUGGAAAAUGGAGGCUUUACUUAGUUGAAUCAGGAAGGCGCCGGCUAUGGGGAAAAAAAAAGUCAAGUUUUCAGACGGGACCCUUUGCUUGCAAUAACAUUAAGUUGGGUAGCAGGUGCUGGGCAAGUGGCUGUACGAUUCCUUAUGCCGAAAAGCUGAUUAAUGUUAAGCAACUGCUGACCUGACGGUUCAGGAAGUUUUGCUGAGCUUCUUAUGAAAAACUCCCAGUGAGGACUGUGUGUCAAAAACCAGAGGUCUUGAACCCAACCAAUGACUCAAGCUGAUGGAACAAAGGAGUAUACUCUAUGACACUGAAGCCUCCAAUACCAUCAGGAUGGAUAAAGAGAAUCUCCCUGUGUAGCCUUGGCUGUCCUGGAACUCACUCUAUCAAACAGGCUGGCCUCAAACUCAUGAAGAUCUGCCUGUCUCUCCCUCCCAAGUACUGGGAUAUUAAAGGCAUGUACCAUGACUGCCUGUUUUCCAUCUAUCUUCUCAUAGCCACUUGUGUAGUCAUUUAACUCUUUGCAUACAUCUUCUCCUGACAUAUAUUCCUUUUGUAGUAGACUUUGUUUUUUGACACACCCCAAUGAUAAACACCUAGUAGAAAUGUACCAAACAUUGGUUAAUAUGAACAAGUUCAUAGUAUUUGUGUGUGUAAGCCAGGGUUCAGUGAAAUGAUUGAAU